UACGGAGGAUCCGAGCGUUAAUCGGAAUUACUGGGCGUAAAGCGCACGCAGGCGGUUGAUUAAGUUAGAUGUGAAAUCCCCGGGCUUAACCUGGGAACUGCAUUUAAAACUGGUCAGCUAGAGUCUUGUAGAGGGGGGUAGAAUUCCACGUGUAGCGGUGAAAUGCGUAGAGAUGUGGAGGAAUACCGAAGGCGAAGGCAGCCCCUUGGGAAUGUACUGACGCUCAUGUGCGAAAGCGUGGGGAGCAAACAGG
Molecule: ribosomal RNA, 253 nt
Filed under: uncultured bacterium
Lineage: Bacteria
Description: partial 16S ribosomal RNA
Rfam family: Bacterial small subunit ribosomal RNA
Source: RNAcentral